RNAcentral lists this long non-coding RNA (23879 nucleotides) under Zostera marina. RNAcentral's name for it is "long non-coding RNA (ZMAR_LNC002978)". The record is from RNAcentral. Lineage: Eukaryota; Viridiplantae; Streptophyta; Magnoliopsida; Alismatales; Zosteraceae.
UGCAGCGAAACUGAACCAUGCGCAGACGUGCAUUUGAGCAACAUCAAUCUUAGAUACACUGGAGCAAACCUAUUCAAGCUAUCGUCUGAAGCUGAAUCUGAAUCUGAAUCUGAAACACCCCAGUCUGCUUGCAUAAAUGUUCUCUCCCCAAUCAUCAGUGACAAUGUGUUCCCUAAGGCUUGCUUUUGAAUCAUAAAAAUCAAGGGAGAAUUCAUUCUUUUGGUAGAACAACAAUAAGAUGCAAAAAGAUUAACAUUUUCUUCAAAGAUGGAAAACAUUAAUUCAUAUGUAUUUAUAUAUACAUAUAAUAUCUAUAUCUAUGUAUGUAUGAAUUAUGUUCAUUAGAUGAUAUUUAUAUAACUAUAUAUAAUAUAUAUAUAGUAGAAGGUUGUUAUGUAUGAUCAGACAAACAGAAUGAAUCAAUAUAUAUAGAAAGGUGAAAGAUCAAUUGCUUAAAAACUUUGUAUGUCAUAUUCGAUUUUCAACUUAUAUAUUUGAUUCGUUGAUAGACACACGAUCGACUAUUCAACAAUCUCAUAGGAUAUUUAAGACUUAGAAGAGAAUGGUCACCUUAGGCUGAAGAAUUGGGGAAGAACGAUGGUCCAGGACGGUUGGGCGAAUUUGAACCCGGUCCAAGUAUAAAUAAACUUAAAAGGAAGAUCGUCUGACCUAGCCGUUACAACGAAUUUGAUGUAGUCAUAUCUUACAUGGUCUAGGAGCCCAUUUCCUAUAGAGAAGGCCCAUUAUCAUCCAGAAUGUACCCAGGUACCUUGAUAAUCAUCACUUGGAAACCUAAAUCAUCACACAUGUCGUUUCCAUAUAUUUUCUUCUUGAAAUUAAUGCUCAACAGCUUUUGCUGAAGAUCUUUCCGUAUCUCGGAUUUCAAUGCUUCGAUCAUCGUCCCUAUCUCCACCAUUUCCGAACAUGUUUGUUUUUUGCAGUUCUCGGGAUCCGCCUGAACAGCUUCGUGUCUUGAGAGUUCAAUCUCUAAUACUUUUACUUUGGAUUUCAGGCUAAUCAACUCUAAUUCUGCAAUCUCUAACGAUGAUCGUAGCUCCAUCAACUUGGUCGAUGCGAUUAACAUCGCGUGAUUCAACUGCAAUCCUUUAUGAUUGCAAAGCUUCCUCGAUGUUUCUCUAGAUCUUUACUCUCCGUCUACUUUUGUACAAACUUUCCCAUUUCUAUUUUUUUCCUUGUUUCAGAGAUUUCCAUUCUCGGAUUCUCGAUCAAACCCUCCAUUGCAAUGACUUUCUUCUCCUAUUUCUUGGUAUUCUCAAGCUCGCUUCUUAGAAUCUUCAUCUCUUUUGGUGACUAUACUCCUAUCCUUUCCAUCAACAGAAACUAAGGUUACGUUCGCUUUAUACUAGACCCUUAGAAGUCUCCCAUGGAAUCGGAAUGAAAGGUCUUUGUCGAGACCCAAGUCAACCCCUCAAAUCGCCUAUUGCGUUAGGUUAAUCGCUGAUUCUGGGAGAAGGUCGUCGAAGUCCAGGAAACUUGGUAAUUUCUCCCAGUAAUCGUCGGUUCCACCCUAAAUCGUCGAUUCCAGAGGAGUUACUUGCAUCUAACCUGACUGCUUUAAUGGCUCAGACGUGAUCUCCAUCGCAGAUGUCACCCGUCGAGGCCUUAUAAAAGGUGACCUUUCGAGGACAUCUAAGGCAUCAGUUCCAACAUUUUCAGAGCGAUAAUUAAACACGGAGCAAUGGUCGAUUUGCUAGCUUAAAUCGCCGAUUCUCUCCAGAAGAUCGACUUGACAUAGAGUGGUUUUUGUGGAUUCCAGAACCUCCGACACAAGAAGAUAACCACUCGUACCGCCGAGAGUACUGGUGGGAUAUUUCAGUCUUCAUCAGCUGGCACCAUCUGUGGAAAACUCGGAAUUACCGAUUAGUUAUCUAUCACCGAAGGUCUCUGAGUGCGAAGCUCUGUCAAAAAUACCUUAGUUCACAAAUCGUCGAUUUUGACUAGUGUAAUUGCCGAAUUUGGUUGGGUUUUUGGAGACUUCGUCAAGUCACUUUGCGCAAUCGUCGGUUUCGUCAUGAAACCAUAGAUUUGUACUUUUCUCUCGACAUGGUUGAAUCGAAUUUGACUAAUUUAGUCACCAUGGCUCCUUUGACCAAAAGUCUAAAGGUUGUUGUUGUUGCCGCCGCCAUUGAGGCCGCAACUUCUAGCAAGAGGGCUGGUUCAACAUUAUACGAGCUACUCAUGCACCACUUCCGUCGCAAGACACCGAGUUACCCCCACCACUCCCGCCAAACUGUGAAGUGGCCCCACCACUCCUGCCAAAUAGUAGAGUGGUCCCACCUCUUACUAUUCAAUAAAGCGACACUUUCUACCAACGAAUCAUUCACAUAGCUCAAUUGGAUUGAAGUUGGGAAGGUUCUGCCUGUCCGAUUAUUGAGUGCCCAAGCUGAUGCGCCUUGUGCGUCAAAUAUCCCAUGCCCGGUUAGCUUGAAGCCCUCAAGUCUUGCAAAGACUAUCCAAUGCAUCUUUGGGUACACAGUUAGAUUUUUAGAAGCCAAAAUUAUUCCUUCAUUUUCAAAGAUAAUCCUUCGUUUGGAUGGUCCGUAGAAAGACAUUGAACCAGUGAAAUACGUUCCAAAGGAACGGAAACUUGAGCCAUUCCUUCAUUUUGACAAGCAUCUUUCCAUGCGUUCAUAAAAGCCUAUAUAUAAAACAAAAUAAAUAUUAAUCAAUCCCAAUAUUCCAUUGCUUGAUUUAUAGAUAAAGAUAUUCUUGUCCAAAAGUAGAGGGUUCAAAUAAACCGAGCCUAAUUUGGGUGUUAGAGCCAAGCUCGGGUUCGUUAUGAUUUUAAUUAGGCUAGGAUUCGAGCUCGACUCGAAGCCUAUUUUACAAAGCACAAGCUCGGUUUGAAAUCUGGACCUAAACUUGGUAAAAAACCUAUUUUACAAAGCAUGAUGAGCUCGUCUUGAAUCCUAAGUCCAAAAGCUAUAUAAUCUCAAAUUUUACAGUAGUGAUAACUUGAACCAAUUCAUGUUUUAUAAUAAUUUAUCUAGCCAACCAAAAAUUUCUUUAUGUAUAUUUAAUGAAAAUACAUAAGCUUAUCGAGCCAAGCUCGGCAAUUCAAGCACUUGCUCGGCUAGUUAAGCUUUUAGGUAAAAUUUGUAACCUUAGUCACAAAUCAUGAACAUCAAUAUAAAAAAAAACUAUUUGUGUACAAACAUGUGAGGAAUCAUUAACGCCAUCAAAUUUGGCACCAUAGUCGAUCACGUCGAAGUAUCUCACAGCACCGACAUGACGAAAACCCGCAAAUGCAAACAAAUAGAUAAACAUAAAAAGUGUUUUAGAAAAAAGAUUUUUAUGCAUAUCCAUUUUUCUUCUGAGAUCUUUGAAGGCGAUUAAUAAUAUGAGUUCUCAGAUCAUGUGUUUUGAUCAUUUAUAUUUCAUUUAUGGUGCUUUUAAUAAAAAAAUAUCAUUUAUGGUAACAAAAUGAAAGGUUUAUAAUUUCUAAGCUGAAUUAAACAAUUACUUAAAAUAAACAAGACAAAAAUACUAGCGAUCAAUUGGAAGUCUGGAACGAUAGGUUGUCAUCGAAAAGUGACGCAUAAGGUAUAUGACAGUAGUGGACACCAUUGAAUAUCGAACUACAAGAAAUAAAACUUUGACGUUUGUCGUUUAUAUUUGAUUUUUUUUUUAAUUUCCAUCAACUAUGUGAGUCACCUUUGAAGUUUGUCGCAUAUAAUAUAAAGCGAUAACUUUUGUGACCAAUUUUAAGAUGAAAGUGACCAACAGUUUGGUUGCCUGGCUCUUUAAAAAAAAUACGAUCAAUAUGUUGGUCGCCUAUAGAUCACUAGUGACGAGGUUUCUUGCGACUGACGUGGCGACCAAAUUUUUUUUCCCACAAGCGACCAACUUUUUCCUAUAAAUUUUGGUACGAUCUCUGCAAAUUAGGUACAAAACUCGAUGAUUUUGGUCUAUUUUUUGUAAACACGUCACGAGAGAAAUUUGGAAAAGAACUAUUUAUUUUGGUAAAUCAAGCUCAAUAAUGUUUCUACAUUCAAGAUUCAUUCAAAUCUGACUGAAGUUGUGUUUAAAAUACCAAAUAAAAAUAUUUUUGAUGUCGAUAUUGACGAUUGUAAUUAAAUUUUAAAAAUGUAUAUUUGAAUUAUAACGAUUGUAAAUGUUUUCAUUUUGAGUAAAAAAAAUGAAUCAACUACUUGCAAUCGUCGAACGAUUUGAGCGACUUAACCGGAUUCAACAUAGUUUUCAGAAAAAAAUAUAGAUUAUUCAUGUCGUGUUUUUGUUUGUUUUCGUUACGGAGUAAACGGUCAUCAUAUUAAUGACUGUUAUAAAAUAUAAACGAGAAAUCCUCAAUAAAUGGAAAUUGGUAAAAUUUUAGUCUUAAGACACGAAGCAAGGGUGUUGAAUGAUUGUGGAAAUACACAUUCAUUCAAAAUCGAAUACAAUUCUUCUCAUGAAGACUUUGAAGAUAUAUUAUGCAUGAUAAUAAAAUUUGUAAAUCACAAUAGAAAAAUUUUUUGGUUAUUGUGUCAGACUAAGAUCUCUUAUACAGGUGUUUGGGUAUGUAUUUGACUAAACUUAUUUUCUUUUGAAAUUAAUUUUAAUUUCUCAGAUUAUGUUUAGCACGUUUUUUUUAUCUUCAUCGAUGUUAUGAUUACAUCGCGUCGUUCACUAGAUGACACAAAUUCAAGUGGUUAGUAUAUUUCUUAUAAUAUAUAUAGUACGUAUACACCACAAAGUUAAUUAUUAAUUUUCAAUUAGUUGUAUCAUCCACAUCCGAGAUGCACGAAAGACUACCCCCAUAACCAUCCUGAAACAGGUACGAAAUGGUUGGUCAUGUUCAACAAUACGAACCAAAGCUACAGACGAAAUAGCAAAUAAAUUGACUACAUAGAUGGUCCACUUAGUAAAAGACCAUACGCUAUUUUCGUACGACGUUGAGUGACGUCAUUAAAAUCCACAUAACUUUAAAGACGCGUUGAAAAUACUUACUGUAAAUAUAUAUAUAUGUAUGUAUGUAUGUAUGUAUGUAUAUAUGUGUUUAAUUAUUUUUCAAAACUCAUAUGGUUUUUAUAUAUAGGAUAAGUAUGACUUGAGUAAAAGCAAAAUCGCACAAACGUAUAUCAAUACUAAGUUGAAUAAGCUUUGGAGGAACAACAACAAUUCGUUGCUGAAAAUAUAUGACAGAAAUUUAAAUAUGACUGAAGUUGAAAUUCUUGAAACCCUUCCACCUUAUAUCAGCAAACCUCAAUUUUUAAAUAAAAUAAGAUAAGCAAGAUUUGAGAGAAGAUAGGAAUGUAUAUAUAUAUUUGAAAUUACAAAUUCUCUAGGUUAAUUUUCAUUAUUUGUUUAAAAUUUUAGAAAAUUUCUGAGAUAAAUUUCACAAAUCGAUCGAAUCAUUUGACACAUCACGCUGGUUCAAAAGGAUCAAAACAACGGCGUCAUGAAUUGGUAAUCAUAACAAAUUUAUAUUUAAAUUAAUCAAAAACUAAUUAAUCAUGUUUAAUAUAAGGAAAAUAAGGAAUGAAUGAGCCUGAUCUUGAUCAUUAACAAUGAUAUAUUACAAAAACAAAAAAAUAGUAAGUUCUUUUAUUAUUUUAUAAAUUAUCAUUUGUAUUUUGUAUUAUUUAAAUUUUAAUCUUUAUGCAGCAAAAAACCACCGCUUUUAUUAAAAAUGAUGGGAGAAAAUCUUAGGCUGAAUCUGACAUCCUUGAUGAGUUUAAUUGUUAUAUAUAUAUAAGGAAAUUAUCAGGUACAAUAUUGUUAUUUGCGAUAUAUACGCCAUCUUCAAUCAUAACCGUCCGUUUGACAUCUGACGGCUUUCAUUCUUCACGGUAGUUCUACAUAUCUAGUGUAUGACGCCAGAUCCAGAUCUCGAGGUGUUUUUUUUAAUUACGAGUUACACUGUUUUAUUUUGUGUGUAAUACUGACUUUUAACUUAAAUUGAAACAGUGUUAUGUCUUUUUUUUCAAAUAAAUCUCGAUAAAAAUAUUUUUUUUGUCUCCUAUUUAAUACUCGACUUGACUAAGUUAUUUAAUGUGUUGUACGACACAUCAAACGUCCACUAUUCCACAUGUCAAACAUCCUUCUAAAAUGUUGUGUCAUAUAUAUCUUCAUCCAUAUCUCACUCAUAUGACUUCCUUUCACUCCCAGUCCAUCCAUUUCUAUCCAUUUUUUUCAUUCUCCAAGCUCGAUUCAUCUCUAAGGUUAGUUCUUCUAUAUUUAGUUACUUUUUUUAAUUGUCGAAGUGAUUUCCGCUAGCUUGUCAAUCACCACGACCGGCCUAUGUAGGGGAUGUCUUCCCGACACUGUCAAAAGGUGCCCGUACGUCACUUCCUACCUCAGACAUACUACUUCAAUCAUUGUAAUAUGCACGUCAUCCUCUAUAUAAAUAUGGUCUUCCUACCUCCGUUAUCCUCAAGUUUCAUUUCAUCUACCUCUUUCUUCUCGUCGGAAAAUGGCUGAUCCUUCUAUCAUCAUUCUUUCUGAUGAUGAAGAACACAUCAUUCUUUCUGAUGAUGAAGAAGUCGUCCCUCACUACCAACCACCACAACCGGAGUUGUCCCUUAGCUAUGAUGAAUGGUCGACGCAAUCUUUAGAUGAUACCUACGAUUCUGAUUCGUCUAUGACUGUUGAAUCACAAAUGCCCACCGAAUCCCAUAUUAGCAGGACGUCUACAUUAUGUUAUUGUUUUACUUUUCCGUUGCAAUAUAGUACUUAGUUGUAAGGUUUAGUUAUUCUUCUUUCAUUCAAUACGUAAUAUAUUGUAGUCUCCCGUAGUCGUUAUCUAUCAAUGGACGUGUAUUAAUUUCCACAUCUCUUUAUGUCUAAUGAAAUAUUUUAUUUUCCUAUCACUGUUUUUAUUUGAAAUUUCACUACCACAACUGCAUACUUGACAGAAGGACCCCAAAUUAUUUACCUCGUCCAUUCCUUAACAUAAGGACCCCAAAUUUAUCAAAUUACAUUUCUAUCAAUUUCAAUGUUAUAAAUUUAGCAAAUAAUCAGUGAAUGACACUUCCUCAAUUGACAAUAAAUAUUUGUUGUGGAUUAUCACUAAAAUUAACAUAAUCGUUAGGUUUAUAAACAAUUUUGAUGUUGUAAUCUGUAGUUUUACUUACCUGUAGUUGUUUACCUCUUAGGUCAGACGUAGUACUAUUUCUUUUUCUGUCGUAGUUUAAAAAUCGUAUCAGAUGUCAUACUCUAUAGUUUAAUGGUUAUAUUGUAGUUUCAAUUCAGUUGUCAUGCAGUUUAGUUUAAUUUUGUAUUACGGAGUCCAUAUUUGUUGACGUACUAUUUACAUUCAGAUUAACAAUGACCCACAAUAGAUACUUCAUAUUAACAAUUACCUGAAAACAUUUUAAAUCAAACAUGAAAUUCAAAUUCAAAUUCAAUUAUUAUAGUUUGAAGUACUUCAAAAGUAAUCAGUACAGCCCUAAAAUAAUCCCUAAAAAUAAGAUGGUAAGAAAUUUGUCAAAAUAAGAACCACAAACAAUGUAGAAAUGGUUCUAUUUCUACUUUUGGUUUAGAGAAAUUCAAGGGAAAUCAAUUGAUGGUUGAAAUGGUUUUGGUGACAAUAUAAAUUGCACCCAAAUGAUGAAGAAUACUCAAGCCACAUAAUUCAAACUCACAACAAUAAAAGAAAAAUAAAAGGAUCGGAAAAUGGGUGUGAUUUCAGAUCUCCUCUUUGUCGUCUCCCAUUUGUUUGUGCUCUUUGCAUUUGUCAAUGUACCGAUUGCAAGCGCUCAAAGUAUCUUCAAUGUUAAAAGAUAUGGGGCCUUAUCUGACGGAAAAACUGAUUCCAUCCAGGUAGAUUAAUUUUUUUCACGAUUGAUGGUACCCCAACGCCAGAAUUAGGUUGUGGAGAGAUCAGGUUAAGAAACCAGGCCGCCGUAGGGGAGAUGUGAUCCAUAAGGGCUUCCCCAACCCUAAUUAUGUUCUAUAAAUAGUAAAUCAUACCACUGUAAUAAGAACCUUUUGCCAUUUUAUCUGAUCAAAUUACCCUAGAAAUGAGUGUGAUUGAUCGUCUACCGAAAUCCCAAGAGAUCUGGUAUCAUCAACAAUAUAUAUCCGAGGAUAUCAAAUAUUCCUAUAAAAUUAACAAGUGUGCAUUUAUAAGGUAUAAUUUUCAUGAUCUCACUGUCUAGAAUUUGAUUGAAGGCUUUUGAAGAUGCUUGGAAAGAUGCUUGCGAAUCUGAAGAACCUUCAACCGUUUUAGUUCCGGAAGGGGAGUUUCUUGCUGGUCCAUAUGAAUUUAAAGGACCUUGCAAAAGAAGAAUUACCUUCCAAGUCGAUGGGACGGUUAUUGCUCCCACAAGUCCAAAUGCAUUCACAAGAAAAAAUUGGAUCAUGUUUUCAUACAUCGACGAGUUCAAGAUGAGCGGUCACGGUAUAUUUGAUGGCAUGGGAAAAUCAACAUGGGGACAUAACGAUCGUUCUGGAAUGACAUUCCCCACUGUGAGUUGAAUUGAUCAGUUUUAUUAUAUAUAUUAAUCUGAAUGAAGGUUUUUGGUAUCUUAAUAUAAUGCCUGCAUCCAUGCCAUGGCAGUCUCUCCAAUUUAGCUUCAUGAACAACUCCAUAGUUGAAGGUAUCACAUCAAAAAACAGCAAGAUGUUUCACAUAAUGAUCUUGGCUUGCAUUGACAUGAAAGUCAGAAGAUUGAAAAUCAUUGCUCCAGAAGACAGUCCAAACACUGAUGGCAUCCAUAUUGCUCUCUCUACCAAUGUGGAAGUAACACAAACACAAAUCGGCACCGGUGAUGAUUGCAUCUCCAUCGGACCAACCAAUAAUGGUAUCACCAUCACUGAUGUGGAAUGUGGUCCAGGACAUGGUAUCAGCGUCGGUAGUCUCGGAAAAUACUCUUCGGACAAGGAUGUUUCCAAUGUUUUAGUGAAGGACUGCAAGAUUACCAAAACAACAAAUGGUGUUAGAAUCAAAACAUGGGAGCAUUCGUUCCCUAUGACAUGUAGAAACUUUACCUUUGAAAACAUCAAAAUGGUUGAUGUCUCCAACCCCAUCAUCAUUGAUCAACACUACUGCCCUACCCACAAUUGUGGUCAACAGGUAUAUAUCCAAUAUAUAUAUAUAUGUAUGUAAUGUUAUCGUAUGUUUUAACAUUGUUGCAUGUGCACAGACUAAUUCAAAGGUGAAGAUCAUCGAUAUGAAGUUCAAGAACAUCGAAGGAACAUCAGAAACACCACUUGCUAUUAAUCUCAAAUGCAGCGAAACUGAACCAUGCGCAGACGUGCAUUUGAGCAACAUCAAUCUUAGAUACACUGGAGCAAACCUAUUCAAGCUAUCGUCUGAAGCUGAAUCUGAAUCUGAAUCUGAAACACCCCAGUCUGCUUGCAUAAAUGUUCUCUCCCCAAUCAUCAGUGACAAUGUGUUCCCUAAGGCUUGCUUUUGAAUCACAAAAAUCAAGGGAGAUCUUUAAUAGCAUUAAUAUAGCAUUAAUUCAUAUGUAUUUAUAUAUACAUAUAAUAUCUAUUUCUAUGUAUGUAUGAAUUAUGUUCAUUAGAUGAUAUUUAUAUAACUUUAUAUAUAUAUAUAUAGUAGAAGGUUGUUAUGUAUGAUCAGAUAAAUAAAAUGAAUCAAUAUAUAUAGAAAGGUGAAAGACCAAUUGCUUAAAAACUUUGUAUGUCAUAUAUAUUCGAUUUUCAACUUAUAUAUUUGAUUCGUUGAUAGACACAUGGUCGACUAUUCAACAAUCUCAUAGGAUAUUUAAGACUUAUAAAAGAAGGGGAGCAAGGAAACCUUAGGCUGAAGAAUUGGGGAAGAACGAUGGUCCAGGACGGUUGGGCGAGUUUGAACCUGGUCCAAGUAUAAAUAAACUUAAAAGGAAGAUCGUCUGACCUAGCCGUUACUGUAAAAACCCUCAUGAAAUUAAAGUAAAAAAAUAAAUAAAAAAAAAUUAAAAGGAGUCUUGUUGGGCUAAAUAUGCACUAAGGCCAAUCAAGCCAUUAAAUCAAGAUGUGGGGACAUGAGCCCUAAUUAAACUAUUAUAUAAUGGGAAGAUGUAGAGGUCUAGGAGGAGAGGAACGGGUGAGAAGGAAAAGAAGAGAAGAGAAGGAAAAGAAGAGAAGAGAAAAGAAAAGAAGGAAAGGAAAGAAACCAAUCGAUCUUAAGGGGAGAUUUCGAUCUUGGUGCAGAGGUUGUGAGCUGAUCAAUAUGGUAUGAGUUUAGAAUAUGUUCUUAUGAUUUUCUGUAAAUCUUUGGGGUUUAAGUAGUAUGAUUCUAUUGAUAGAUAGAAAUAGAAACAGGAUUAGGUUAUGUGUUAUAUGAAAUAGUUGAACAAGUGAUACAUAGAUAUCCAUUGAAGAUGGGAUGGAUUGAUAUAUAGAUGGAUUAGAGUAUGACCAUUUCUAUAAAAAAUCAGAUGAUAUUUAGAUAUUGGAGUUGGAUCCUUUCUACUGUUUGGUGUUGCAUUUUAUUUAGAAUUAAAUUUGCUGGAUUUAAUCUAAUUCUAUCAAAUUUUCAGAGAUUUGAAGGUGGGUGUUGUUGUCAUGAUUUUAAAGAUUUUAGAUAUUUUUAUGAUUGAUUUCAUAACUAAUUCUUCGAAGAUUCCGUAGUGUUAUUAUCUUAUCCUUGUGAUUGAGAUUGAUUGUGUUUGUUCUCGAGUAUUGUCAUUUAUUCUGAUUUGAUUUUUAUUUUGAUUCGUUUAUUUUUUUAUUAUUCCAGAGUUGUCGGGAGUAUUAUUAUGUGAUGAUUUAAUCCAAAAUAUGGUAAGUUUGUACUGUUUUGAGAAGGGGGAGUGAAGUAUAUUUUUUUUUGGAUUUUAUUUGACAUUGAAUGAGGGAUUAAGGAGUCAUGAGUAGGAGUUUUCUCGGUCUUUUUAUUUUAUGUUUUCAUCGGUAAAAAUUCUGUUUUGAUGUUAAGUUCGAAGGAUGACGAUGUUGAAUGAUAUUAUGAAGGUCUAUAAAAUGAUAUAAGAAACACGAUAUGACAUGACAUGAUAUGACAUGAAUCUCAUGAUGAGAUGAACAAUAUGACAUGAAUCUCAUGAUGAGAUGAACAAUAUGACAAGAAUUAGGCUACAAAUAGUCGUUAAAUAGUUUGUUUAAUUGCAGUUAUUGAUACUUUUAUGGUUGUUUAUAGGUGAUAAGAAUGAAUACUGGUAUAUUAUUCCUUAUGUGGAAUUUUAAGUAUAGAUUUCCAUACUGAGUCAGUUGAGACUCACCCAUUUUGCUUUGCUAUGUUGUGUCGUGUUAUAAAAUUUAUAGGAUGGGGACGUUGAUGAAGCCACAUUGCAUGGAUACAGGAGGGUGGAGCAGAGUUAACAUCAGGAGUAGUGGUGCUUCAUCCUGAUGAAUAUUAUGAACUCCGUUGGUGCCUGUUUAUUAUUUAUAAUAAUGUUCUAGAGUUUUACUAGUAAAUGAUGAUGUUCUGGACUUUAUUCACAAAUUUUGAACUUUUAUUUUAUUAACAUAUUAUUAUGUUGAUUCUCGAUAUUAGGGAAAGUACAACAUGUUUGUUUGUUUUCACCUGAUGGUUUAAAUGUUCAGAUUGAUAUUAUUAACAUCUCUCUUAUCGUAAGAGGAUGUUACAAAGUGGUAUCAAAGCCAAACCCAAGAACCCACGUGGUUCUCGGGAUAUCCAUAUUCGGUACAUCGUUGGCUAAUUUGACCAAGUAUGCAUUUUUUGACUGACUACUCUUGAAUUAUUGUAGAUGGCCGGAGGAUGAAGGGGGACACCAAGAGCGACACCAAGAGCACUAAGACCAAGUAGGGAGGUAUCCUUUCAAGAUUUCAACAAGACAAACCCUCCCAUCUUUACGGGAAAGGAAACUCUCGACGAGGUGGAGAGUUGGAUUGAUGCCAUUGAGACUAGUUUUGAACUACUGGAAUGUCCGGAGAAGAGAAAAGUGAUCUUCGGGACAUAUAUGCUACGAGAGUUUGCAAAGGCAUGGUGGAGGAGUACUAAGGCGCUCCGAUUUGAGGUUGGAGAACAGAUUUCAUGGUUAGAGUUCAAGGGGGAGUUUGAGGCCCAAUUCAUCCCACCACACUUGAAAGAAGAGGCUCAGGACCAAUUCUGUGAUUUGGUACAAGGCAACAUGUCUGUGAAAGAGUAUGCUGGGGAAUUCUUCCAUCUUGAGAGACACUUUACUACGUUAUGUGCGAAUGAAGCUGGAAGAGUACGCAAAUUUAUUUCAGGGCUUCAAUAUGGACUUCAAACCAAAGUGAUGGUUAGCCAACCUGACACACUUCAUAAGGCAGUGACAUGCGCAUACACUAUGGAUGAAGUAUUCAAGAAGGGGUCAAAUAAGAGAAGGCAGCUAGAGGAGGGUCCGAGUAAGAAACCUAGAACAACCGAGAAAGUCACCCCAACAACAGUGAUUGGUGGUAACACAUGUCAGAUGUGUCACAGGUAUCAUCCGGGGAGAGUGUGCUAUAAGAUUUCUGGAGCAUGCUUCAAGUGUGGAGGCAUGGGACAUCAACUUAAGGACUGCCCAGGUCGUACUAAUGACGAACAACGUAAGAAAGUCACGGCAAAGGCUUUUGCCGUUACCAAUGAAAGUACGGAGAAUUCAAAUGAGGUGGUGACAGGUAUGCAUUGGUUUAUCAUCAAAUAUGGUCAAUUAGUUCAUAAUUAUAAUAUAUUAGUAAUAAGUACAUGCAACAUGUUAUAUAUGCAUAUUAAAUAUACAUACAUACAUAUAUAUAUAACUAAAAGGUUUUCCCUAACUAAGAAACAUGAUAAGGGUAAAGGUUAGACAAGCAUGAAUUUAGAAUAGGAACUGGGUACAUAAAAUGCUAACUAAGAACUACAACUACAGGUGUCGGACUGAUAGAGGGACAUGUAGCACGAGUGUUAUACGAUUCGGGAUCGUCACACUCAUUUAUUUCGGAAUUAUUUUCUCAAGUACUUAAAAGAUCGAAGCAAAGGUUGAGUUACGAGCUUCGAGUAUCUACCCCAUUAGGAGGAAUUGCGAAAAUGGGACAAUAUCUUUCGGGAGUUGACAUCAACUUAGGAGGGCAUGAGAUGAAUGCUGACUUGAUCAUACUUGCAAUGAGUGAUUUUGAUGUCAUUUUAGGAAUGGACUGGCUUAGCAAACACUAUGCAACUAUUCAUUGCAAGGAUCGAAAGGUAGAAUUCUUCCAAUCAGGAUUAAGAAGGGUGGUACUACAUGGGGUAAGAGACCCAAACCAUAGACCGAUUGUCUCUGCCAUGGGAGUGAACAAAAUAAUCCAGAAUGGUGGUUACGCAAUACUAUACCAUCUUGAAGUACCAUCAAAACUAACCAUCGAUUUGACAGAUAUUGAGGUGGCCAGAGAGUUCACAGAAGUGUUCUAAACAGAAUUUGGAUUACCACCACAUCGAGAGACUGAGUUUUUCAUUGACAUCGUGCUAGGUAGUGAACCAAAAUCAAAAGCUCCGUACCGAAUGGCACCAGCAGAACUUAAAGAUCUAAAGACACAAUUAGAAGAAUUGUUAGAUAAAGGAUUCAUUCGACCAAGUGUAUCUCCAUGGGGAGCUCCGAUAGUAUUCGUGAAGAAGAAAGAUGGGUCAAUGAGAUUAUGUAUAGAUUACAGAAUGCUCCACCAAGUUACGGUGAAGAAUAAGUAUCCACUACCUAGAGUCGAUGACUUGUUCGACCAACUUCAAGGUGCAUCAGUAUUUUCAAAGAUUGACUUGAAGACGGGGUACCAUCAAUUGAGGAUUAAGGAUUCUGAUGUAUCUAAAACAGCUUUCAAAAGUCGAUACGGACAUUAUGAGUUCUUGGUGAUGCCAUUCGGAUUAACUAAUGCGCCUGCAGCAUUUAUGAACAUGAUGAACCAUGUUUUUCGAUCCUUCCUAGAUAAAUUCGUUAUUGUUUUUGUGGAUGACAUCCUGGUAUACUCGAAGGAUAAGACUCAACACAAAGAACACUUACGACUAGUUCUGGCUACAUUGAGACAAAAUCACUUAUACGCUAAGCUAUCAAAAUGUGAAUUUUGGUUACACACCAUCCACUUCUUGGGCCACGUAAUCACCAAGGAAGGAGUAGCAGUCGAUCCAGAAAAGGUAGCAACAGUGGAGAAAUGGUCAACUCCAAGGACAGUCAUUGAAAUCCGAAGUUUCUUAGGUUUGGCAGGGUACUACCGUAGAUUCAUAUGUGAUUUUUCUCGGAUUGCAUUGCCACUAACAAGUCUAACUCGCAAAGGGGAGAAAUUUAUAUGGAAUAAAGGAUGUGAAGAAAGUUUUCAAGAACUAAAGAAGCGCCUGAGUUAAUCACAAAUACUCGCCCUACCUAACGGAGGCGAAGAUUUUGUUAUCUACUGUGAUGCAUCAGGAACUGGAAUAGGAUGCGUACUAAUGCAGAAGGAUCAUGUGAUAGCCUUUGCGUCAAGGCAACUAAAAAUACAUGAAAGAAACUACCCUACACAUGAUCUGGAACUAGCGGCGGUAGUAUUUGCGUUAAAGAUUUGGCGACAUUAUCUGUAUGGGGAGAAAUUUGAGGUGUUCACAGAUCAUAAAAGUUUGAGAUAUAUUUUUACACAAAUGGAGAUGAAUAUGAGAUAACGACGAUGGAUUGAAUUCUUGCAGGAUUAUGAUUUUGAAAUGUUGUAUCACCCUGGAAAGGCAAAUGUUGUUGCGGACACGCUAAGUCGAAAAUGGGAAGGGAUAGCCGCAAACAUGAUGCUACAUGAGUGGAAACUAUUAGAAGACUUUGUAGAAUGGAGACCAUUUGAGAUUCCAGAGAAGAAGGCAAUAGUAGCUAGUUUGAAAUGUGGGUCUGAAAUAACUGAGAAAGUUCUUGAGGCACAAGGGUCUGCAACAGAACUGCCAGAUAUGUUGGAAGCGUCAAAAAGGGAGAAUUCAGAAUUGAGGAUAACAACAGAUGGCGGUGUGAGAUUUCGAAAUCGUCUUUGGGUCCCAGCGAUAGAGGAUUUGAGGAGAGAAGUCUUAAAUGAGGCUCAUCGAUCGAAGUAUAGUAUACACCCUAGGAGCAUAAAAAUGUGGAGGGAUCUCCAAAAGAACUUUUGGUGGAAGGGAAUGAAGAAGGACAUUGUCGAUUUUGUUUCAAAAUGUUUGGUAUGUCAACAAGUCAAAAUCGAACAUCAAAGACCAGCAGGAUUGAUGCAAAGAAUAGAUCUGCCAACAUGGAAAUGGGAACAUAUAACAAUGGAUUUUGUAGUCGGGUUACCAAAGACACGAAAGAAUCAUGAUGCCAUAUAUAUGGAUGAUUGUAGACCGACUUACGAAAUCAGCUCAUUUCCUGCCAUACAAUGUCACUCAGUCCUUAGAAGAAUUAGCUAAGUUAUAUAUCACGGAAAUUGUCAGACUGCAUGGGAUACAUAUAUCAAUUAUUUCAGAUCGAGAUGCUCGUUUGACCUCACGAUUUUGGAAGAUCCUACAGACAGAAUUUGGCUCGCAAUUACGAUUUAGCACAACAUUUCACCCUCAAACCGAUGGGCAAUCAGAAAGGACCAUCCAAACAUUGGAAGAUAUGCUUCGAGCAUGCGUACUGGACUUUCAAGGAAGUUGGGAGGAUCACUUGCCGCUAGUAGAAUUCUCAUAUAAUAAUAGUUAUCAUUCUAGCAUCGGAAUAGCACCUUAUGAGGCACUUUACGGAAGACCUUAUAGGUCACCAAUAUGUUGGGAACAGGAUGGGAACCAUGAAAAUAUGGGACCAGAACUAGUGAGAGAUACGGUCAAACAAAUUGAGAUGAUUAGAAAGAGAUUACUAACGGCACAAAGCCGACAGAAAAGUUGUGCUGAUAGAAGAAGAAAAGAGUUAAGUUUUGAAGUAGGAGACCAUGUAUUUCUCAAAAUAUCACCAACGAAAGGAGUGGUACGAUUUGGGAUUAAAGGGAAAUUGAGUCCUAGGUUCGUUGAACUGUUCGAAAUACUAGAGAGGGUUGGGAAGGUGGCGUAUCGGCUUGUGUUACCACCUAAACUUAACCGAGUGCAUAAUGUCUUCUACAUCUCAAUGCUACGGAAAUACAUCCCAGACCAGAGCCACAUAAUUCGACAUGAUAACAUCGAAAUAGAAGAAGAGUUGUCUUUCGAGGAACCACCACUCCGGAUAAUAGAGAAAAAGGAACACCGACUACGUCGUAAAGUUAUAUCGAUGGUGAAGGUUCAAUGGAAACACCACAAAGAAAGUGAGGCUACAUGGGAACCAGAGGAUAAGAUACGAGAACUAUACCCAGAUAUACUCGAUAAAAGCCAGGAAUAAGAAGAAAGGAAAAGAAAAGAAAAAAAGGUACAUAUUCAUGUGUGAUUAUUAUGUUAUCUUUAAUGUAGUAAUGGCCAAAGAUAAGGAGGUUAUAAAAUAAAAAUAAAUAAAUAAAGCAUUGAGAUGGGCGGGCAUGUGACUUAUUAAUAAGAGUGACGAGUUUAUCAAAGAAAUUUCGGGUCGAAAUUUUUGUGAGGGAGGGAGGAUGUAAAAACUCUCAUGAAAUUAAAGUAAAAAAAUAAAUUAAAAUAAAAAUUAAAAAAAUUAAAAGGAGUCUUGUUGGGCUAAAUAUGCACUAAGGCCAAUCAAGCCAUUAAAUCAAGAUGUGGGGACAUGAACCCUAAUUAAACUAUUAUAUAAUGGGAAGAUGUAGAGGUCUAGGAGGAGAGGAACGGGUGAGAAGAGAAGAGAAGAGAAGAGAAAAGAAAAGAAGGAAAGGAAAGGAAAGAAACCAAUCGAUCUUAAGGGGAGAUUUCGAUCUUGGUGUGGAGGUUGUGAGCUGAUCAAUAAGGUAUGGGUUUAGAAUAUGUUCUUAUGAUUUUCUGUAAAUCUUUGGGGUUUAAGUAGUAUGAUUCUAUUGAUAGAUAGAAAUAGAAACAGGAUUAGGUUAUGUGUUAUAUAAAAUAGUUCAACAAGUGAUACAUAGAUAUCCAUUGAAGAUGGGAUGGAUUGAUAGGUGGAUUAGAGUAUGACCAUUUCUAUAAAAAAUCAGAUGAUAUUCAGAUAUUGGAGUUGGAUCCUAUUUACUGUUUGGUGUUGCAUUUUAUUUAGAAUUAAAUUUGCUGGAUUUAAUCUAAUUCUAUCAAAUUUUCAGAGAUUUGAAGGUGGGUGUUGUUGUCAUGAUUUUAAAGAUUUUAGAUAUUUUUAUGAUUGAUUUCAUAACUAAUUCUUCGAAGAUUCCGUAGUGUUAUUAUCUUAUCCUUGUGAUUGAAAUUGAUUGUGUUUGUUCUCGAGUAUUGUCAUUUAUUCUGAUUUGAUUUUUAUUUUGAUUCGCUUAUUUUUUUAUUAUUCCAGAGUUGUCGGGAGUAUUAUUAUGUGAUGAUUUAAUCCAAAAUAUGGUGAGUUUAUACUGUUUUGAGAAGGGGGAGUGAAGUAUAUUUUUUUUUGGAUUUUAUUUGACAACGAAUGAGGGAUUAAGGAGUCAUGAGUAGGAAUUUUCUCGGUCUUUAUAUUUUAUGUUUUCAUCGGUAAAAAUUCUGUUUUGAUGUUAAGUUCGAAGGAUGACGAUGUUGAAUGAUAUUACGAAGGUCUAUAAAAUGAUAUGAGAAACACGAUAUGACAUGACAUGAUAUGAUAUGAAUCUCAUGAUGAGAUGAACAAUAUGACAAGAAUUAGGCUACAAAUAGUCGUUAAAUAGUUUGUUUAAUUGCAGUUAUUGAUACUUUUAUGGUUGUUUAUAGGUGAUAAGAAUGAAUACUGGUAUAUUAUUUCUUAUGUGGAAUCAUAAGUACAGAUUUCCAUACUGAGUCAGUUGAGACUCACCCAUUUUGCUUUGCUAUGUUAUGUCGUGUUAUAAAAUUUAUAGGAUGGGGACGUUGAUGAAGCCACAUUGCAUGGAUACAGGAGGGUGGAGCAGAGUUAACAUUAGGAGUAGUGGUGCUUCAUCCUGAUGAAUAUUAUGAACUCCGUUGAUUGCUGUUUAUUAUUUAUAAUAAUGUUCUAGAGUCUUACUAGUAAAUGAUGAUGGUCUGGACUUUAUUUACAAAAUUUGAACUUUUAUUUUAUUGACAUAUUAUUAUGUUGAUUUUCGACAUUAGGGAAAGUACAACAUGUUUGUUUGUUUUCACCUGAUGGUUUAAAUGUUCAGAUUGAUAUUAUUAACAUCCCUCUUAUCGUAAGAGGAUAUUACAGUUACAACGACUUUGAUAUAGUCACAUCUUACAUGGGCCAGGAGCCCAUUUCCUAUAGAGAAGGCCCAUUAUCAUCCAGAAUGUACCUAGGUACCUUUAUAAUCAUCACUUGGAAACCUAAAUCAUCACACAUGUCGUUUCCAUAUAUUUUCUUCUUGAAAUCAAUGCUCAACAGUUUUUGCUGAAGAUCUUUCCGUAUCUCGGAUUUCAAUGCUUCGAUCAUCGUCCUCAUUUCCACCAUUUCCGAACAUGUUUGUUUAUUGCAGUUCACAAAACUUAAGAAACUUAGUUAAGAAACUUGUUCUACAAAACUUAAUUCAUCUUAAACAUAUAUAUAUAUAUAUAACAGUUAGAAGAUCUAUUCACCAAGGUUGUAAACCAUGAUAUUUGAUGAGGGUAGAACUCGAUCGAUACUUGGGAACUCUUCGGAUCGUCGAGGCAGAAACUCCUGUCUGUAAGAAUAUAUGAUUAUAUUGUGAGUUGUCAAUACCCACAAUAAAAUCGUAUAUUCAAUACCCACAAUCAAUAGGUUGUCAAAAUAUAUGAUUAUAUUGUGAGUUGUCAAUACCCAUAAUAUAAUCGUAUAUUCAAUACCCACAAUCAAUGGGAUGUCAGAAUAUACGAUUAUAUUAUAUACCCACAAACAAUGGGAUAUACAUAACUAAUUUAGAUCUUUAAUUAUGGUCAGAUUGUAACAUAAUUAUAGCAACUUUUCGUAUAUAAAUAUACAGGUCUCGAUGAAUCAAUCAUUAAAUCAUCUUCUCCCAACGUUUUAUUCUUCUUUCUAUUCCCUCUUAUCAUCCUUUUCAAGGGAAGGAUGGAUACUUCUCUGUUUUUUGAUACGAAGCGGGUAGACAUGGCUGGGAUAAUAGAAGAUCUGGAGAAGAACCACGAGCUCAGUGAAGAGGUCGUCGGAGAAGAAGAAAUUGAAGAAAAAAAAAGCGAACAGAGAAAAGAAAAAUUAGAUCAGAGCCGCCAGGUGAGGGAGAGCCGUUCCAAGAGGGCUCCAGGCUGGACUGCCAAUUAUGAUAUGGGCAGAUAAGGGUUAAUUUGCAAUUAGAUCCUUAAGUUUAGAUUAAAUGUGUGAUAUUGUUUGUAUAGUUUUAAUUGGAGAAUUUCUAUUAUACACCCUUAUGUAAUUUACCCUAUAAAAGGGCUCAAUUGUAAAUAUUGUGAGUCAUCUAAUAAAAAAUAAAAUAAAAGUUUCCCCAAAUUCCAUCCUCUCCAUUCCAUAACCGCCGAUAUCCUCCCAACACAUCCGUUCAUCAUCGCAGCCAACCGCCGUCGUGUUCACCGGCCAUCUUCUCCGUUCGUCGCCGGCCAGACUAUAUUCCAACCAGAAACUCUGUUUUUGUUCAUCGCAGUCCAGAAAAUAAACUAUAUUGAAUAGUCCGGCCAGAUCAGUUCAUCUCUGUUUGGGUUAUUCCGGCCAGAAAUUAGCCCUUCAUCAUCACCGUCUACGAUACAGGAUUUGAUCCCGUAUCAACUGGUGCUUUCAAUCUAUUGUUUACUCAUACUUUCAGGAAAAUGACAACUGCUCUACAUAACUUGCCGGAAGGCAUGGAAGUAACUGUCAAGUGACUUCAGACAUUUCAGAUAUCCCAAACAAGUGAACUGUCCGAUCUGAGGAAGUCACUGAAUCACAACGUACUGGAAUUUGGGAAGCAAAUCUCUGAUUUAACUUCACUCAUUACCAACAAGCAAAAGAAUCUACAUAAUAAACAGACAAGCGAAUCAUCUUCUGCCCAAAUGAAUAUGAGCAGUGAACAGGAGGAAAUUACUGUUGAUCCAGAGCGACCUGCUUAUGCUGUGAGUAUGUAUGGUAAUGCAGAUUAUACUCCGUCUAAACACAUCAAGUUUGAUAUGUCUAAGUUUAAUGGGAAGGACCCUGAGGCCUGGAUCUUUAUGGCCCGGAGGUUUUUCAUUUUUCAUAACACCCCUGAAGAUCAGAAACUCAUUAUAGCAUCAUUCAACAUGGUCGAUGUUGCUCUGAAAUGGUUUUUGUGGAUGGAGUCCAGCAACUAUUUAACCACUUGGCCGGCAUUCGUCAAAUCAUUACUAAAAAAAUUCAACCCCACCACUUACACAAUUCCUGGUGGAAAAUUAAGCAAGAUUUCUUAGAUAACUACAGUUGCUGAAUUUGUGACAAGGUUUGAAGACUAUUCUUCAAAAGUGGUUGGAAUUCCUGAUUGGCUACUGUUAGAAAUAUUUAUUUCGGGUUUAAAGGAUGAAUAUUUAACAGAGGUAGUUAAGGCCAAACUUACAGACAUUGAAGAGGCUAUGGAAUUGGCUGUACAUAUGGAAAACCAAGGUUCUGUUGGCUACAAAUCUGGUGGGUAUAGGCCAAGUCCAGGAAGAUCUUUUAUUGGCAAAACUUUGGGAAAUAUGAAUUAUGGCAGCAACCUUGCAAUCACUAAUCAACCUUUUGCAGCAAAUAAAAUAGCCCCAAAUGCACUUGUUUUUAAAAGACUAUCUCCUGCUGAGAGAAGGGAGAGGACUGCCAAAGGUCUCUGUUUCAAUUGUGAAGAAAACUUUACCCCAAGUCACAAAUGUAAGGGCAAGUUAUUCAGAUUUUCGGCAGAAGACAACACAUUAUGAGAACUAGAAGGGGAGGAAGCUGAGAUAGAAUGCUCACAUGAAGAGGAGGAGCAAAUUAUUGUGGAAGGGGAAGCAGAUACUGAAAUCAAUUUACAGGCUUACCAAGGUAAAAUAAGGGUCAGAACUAUUAGGCUCGAAGGCUUCAUAAAAAGCCAAAGUGUAAGCGUAUUGGUAGAUCCAGGGUCCACUCACAACUUCAUGCAAGUGGAUGUGGCUGCAAGACUUCACAUGGUGGUACAAGCAAUUAAUCCAUUCAGAGUUUCCACAGGCAGUGGGGAGAAGUUACUAUGUGAUAAAGUUUGCAAACAAGUUCAGAUCAAGAUCCAAGGAGUAGUAAUUUCUAUUGAUUUGUUUCUAUUACCUAUGGCAGGGUCAAACAUAGUCAUUGGCACCCAAUGACUCAAAGAGUUAGGGGAUGUGAUCUCUAACUAUAAGGAGCUUUGUAUGAAAUUUGAAUGGGAAGGAAAAAGAGUAAUAUGGAGAGGGAUUUCGUGGCUAAAUAGUGAACCACUUACAAGUGGGCAACUAAAUUCAUUACAUGCCUCUACUUCUGAAGCAUACUUAUGUUAUUUUGAAUAUAUUGAAGAACCAAGUAUGAACAGUUUAUCAAUUUCAGAACUGACAGUUGUAAACAAGGUAGUAGAAGUUUUCUCUGAAAUAUUUGAAGAACCUAAAGGGUUGCCACCACAAAGAUCUAUUGAUCACUUUAUACAUUUACAACCUAAUUCCAAUCCUGUAAAUGUAAGGCCAUAUAGAUUUCCCCAAUUUCAGAAAGGGGAGAUUGAGAAGCUAGUUAAAGAAUUAUUAAAUCAAGGAACUGUGAAACCUAGUACCAGUCCUUACUCAUCUCCUGUGUUGCUGGUCAAAAAGAAAGAUGGGGGUUAUAGACUUUGUGUUGACUACAGAGCUUUGAAUGCAAUCACUAUCAAGGACAAAUUUCCAAUCCCUACAGUUGACGAAUUAUUGGGAGAGUUGAAGGGUGCUGUCAUCUUCUCAAAGUUAGAUUUGAGGUCAGGUUUUCACCAGAUAAGAAUAAAUCCCAAAGAUACUGAAAAAACAGCCUUUAGGACGCAUCAGGGACACUAUGAGUUUUUGGUAAUGCCCUUUGGGCUUACAAAUGCUCCAGCCACAUUCCAGGCAGCCAUGAACAGGGUUUUUCAGAGGUAUUUAAGAAAGUUUGUGAUCAUUUUCUUUGAGGAUAUUCUGGUGUAUAGUACUUCUGUUUCAGAUCAUGUUAAACAUCUAGAGCUUAUUUUUGAUCUAAUGAAAGAAAAUCAAUUGUUAGCAAAAAAAUCCAAGUGCUGUUUUGGCCAAGAAACUAUGGGAUUUUUGGGCCACAUUAUUAGCAAGGAUGGGGUAAAUCCUGACCCACCAAAGAUUUCAGCCAUGGUAGAGUGGCCUACACCUAAAAAUCUGAAACAACUAAGAGGAUUCUUAGGCCUUACAGGUUACUACAGAAAAUUCAUCAAAGGGUAUGCUCAGAUUGCUUCAUCCAUGACAGAUUUAUUAAAGAAGGAUUCAUUCUCUUGGUCUGAGUUAGCUACCAAUAGCUUUGACAGCCUAAAGGAGGCCAUGACUAAGGCUCCAGUGCUUAAAUUUCCAGACUUUGAUGAAGUUUUUACUGUGGAAACUGAUGCUUGUAAUACAGGAAUUGGUGCAGUACUUCAACAAGAGGAGCACCCUAUAGCCUUCUAUAGUAAGAAAAUAGGAGGAAGAAUGGCUUCAGCAUCUAUAUAUAUCAAAGAAAUGUUUGCUAUCACGCAAGCUGUGGGUAAAUUGAGGCACUACCUAUUGGGUAAUCAUUUUGUGAUCAAAACAGAUCACAGAAGCUUAAAAAAUCUGUUAACACAAGUGAUUCAGAUACCCGAACAACAGGUUUUCCUUUAUAAAUUGCUGGGCUACGAUUUCACAAUUAUUUACAAACCUGGAAAAGAUAAUAAGGUUGCAGACACUUUGUCCAGAUGUUAUGAUGAAGAAGAAAUUAUAUUCAGCAACAAGGCUGACAACCACAAAGGCUCCUUAUUAGCAUUAACAACUCCUAUUUGUUCCUUAAUAGAAGAGAUGAGAAAGGAAAAUGAAAUAUCACCAGAAACACAACAAUUAAUUGCCAAUAUCAGUUCAGGAUCCAAAAAAACCCAAAACUACACUUUUAAAGAUGGGUUGGUGCUAUACAAGGGCAAGUAUUACUUGAAAAACACUUCUGUUAUAAUUCCAAAAGUAUUGAAAGAAUUCCAUGAUUCACCAUUGGGAGGCCACUCCUGUAUAGAAAGAACUAUCAGAAGAAUUACAACUCAAUUUUGGUGGCAAGGUAUGAGUAAUGAUAUCAGAAUUUAUGUUCAAAACUGUUUAACCUGUCAACAGAUGAAGCCGCUUAAUCAGAAAGCAUUCGAGCUGUUAAUGCCUCUGCCUAUUCCUCCUUCUAUAUGGCACGACUUAUCUGUUGAUUUUAUUACAAAUCUCCCCAAGGUUCAAAACAAAACUGUGAUCAUUGUUGUAGUAGACAGACUAUCUAAAUCUUGUCACUUAGGGGCACUUUCAACAAAUUACACAGCUUACAUGGUGGCUGAAUUCUUGUGUAAGAGGUGAUAAGGUUGCAUGGAUACCCAAACUCAAUAGUUUCUGACAGGGAUAAAGUUUCUCUCAAAAUUCUGGAAAGAGUUAAAUAAGCUUAGUGGGACAACUCUGAAUUUUUCUACUGCUUACCACCCUCAGAGUGAUGGCCAAACUGAGGUUGUUAAUAGAAGUAUCGAGAUGUAUUUAAGAUCUCUAGCCCACGAAGAUCCAAAAAAAUGGCUUUCUCUACUUCCUUGGGCAGAGUUUUGGUUCAAUACCAAUUACAACUCCUCUAUCGGGCAAACACCAUUCCAAAUAUUAUAUGGAAAGGAAGCUCCUAUUUUACCAAACUAUAUUGAAGGUAGUUCUUUUAUUGAUGCUGUGGACAGAGAAUUGAAUGAUAGGGAGUAUGCUUUGGAGACAAUGAAAAACAAUUUAAUCAAAGCCCAAAAACGGAUGAAGACAAAUGCUGAUAAACAUAGACAAGAAAUACAGUUUAAUGUGGAUGAUUGGGUAUUGGUCAAGCUAAAGCGCUACAGACAAUCAUCAGUAGCAGUUCGACUUCAUAACAAAUUAAAUAAGAAAUACUUUGGUCCCUACAAAAUCAAAGAAAAAAUCAGCAGGGUUGCUUACAGAUUAUCUCUGCCUCCGGGAAGUCGAAUCCAUAACACAUUUCAUAUAUCCUUGCUGAAGAAAUUUAUUGGCAGCCCACCUGAAAAUAAAGAUAUGACACCUUUAAUAGCGG